This 255-nucleotide ribosomal RNA is filed under the name uncultured bacterium. RNAcentral describes it as "partial 16S ribosomal RNA". It matches the Rfam family "Bacterial small subunit ribosomal RNA", at positions 523 to 776 of the family's 1533-position model. The record is from RNAcentral.
AUACGGGGGGGGCAAGCGUUUGUUCGGAAUUACUGGGCGUAAAGGGCUCGUAGGCGGCCAACUAAGUCAUACGUGAAAUCCCUCGGCUUAACCGGGGAACUGCGUCUGAUACUGGAUGGCUUGAGUUCGGGAGAGGGAUGCGGAAUUCCAGGUGUAGCGGUGAAAUGCGUAGGUAUCUGGAGGAACACCGGUGGCGAAGGCGGUUCUCUGGGCCUUACCUGACGCUGAGGAGCGAAAGCGUGGGGAGCAAACAGG